Small nuclear RNA from Mustela putorius furo (domestic ferret), 107 nucleotides. NCBI's taxonomy places the organism in Eukaryota, Metazoa, Chordata, Mammalia, Carnivora, Mustelidae. The record is from Ensembl.
GUGCUCACUUCAACAGCACAUAUACUAAAAUUAGAAUGAUACAGAGAAGAUUAGCAUGGCCCGUGUCCAGGGAUGACACAGAAAUCCAUGAAGCAUUCCAUAUUUUU